AGCUUUGCGCAGUGGCAGUAUCGUAGCCAAUGAGGUUUAUCCGAGGCGCGAUUAUUGCUAAUAGAAAGUGAUUUCUGUAUACUUGUCAGUUUUGACCUCAGAUUGCUAGAGUGUAAAAGGUAAGUACAGACGAUAUUUCAAGAGCCUUGGUAUGAAUGCAAAUAGGC
This 167-nucleotide small nuclear RNA is filed under the name Neogale vison (American mink). RNAcentral's name for it is "Neovison vison (American mink) U4 spliceosomal RNA (ENSNVIG00000006321.1)". It matches the Rfam family "U4 spliceosomal RNA". Rfam says of the family: U4 small nuclear RNA (U4 snRNA) is a component of the major U2-dependent spliceosome. Lineage: Eukaryota; Metazoa; Chordata; Mammalia; Carnivora; Mustelidae. The record is from Rfam by way of RNAcentral.